RNAcentral lists this ribosomal RNA (273 nucleotides) under uncultured bacterium. Its description in RNAcentral is "partial 16S ribosomal RNA". It matches the Rfam family "Bacterial small subunit ribosomal RNA", at positions 524 to 796 of the family's 1533-position model. The record is from RNAcentral.
UACGGAGGGUGCAAACGUUGCUCGGAAUCAUUGGGCGUAAAGCGCACGUAGGCGGCGAAGCAAGUUGGGUGUGAAAGCCCUGGGCUCAACCCAGGAAGUGCAUUCAAAACUGCUUCGCUUGAAUCUCGGAGGGGGUCAGAGAAUUCCCGGUGUAGAGGUGAAAUUCGUAGAUAUCGGGAGGAAUACCAGUGGCGAAGGCGCUGACCUGGACGAAGAUUGACGCUGAGGUGCGAAAGCGCGGGGAGCAAACAGGAUUAGAAACCCCUGUAGUCC